CUUAUAUGAUGAGCGUAUUAUUUCAGUUCUGCUACCGAACUCCAUUGACGAUACUUUAUACCGCUUACCUUGUCUGAUUU
RNAcentral lists this small nucleolar RNA (80 nucleotides) under Clohesyomyces aquaticus. The record is from RNAcentral. Lineage: Eukaryota; Fungi; Ascomycota; Dothideomycetes; Pleosporales; Lindgomycetaceae.